This 176-nucleotide non-coding RNA is filed under the name Flavobacteriaceae bacterium. The record is from RNAcentral. Lineage: Bacteria; Pseudomonadati; Bacteroidota; Flavobacteriia; Flavobacteriales; Flavobacteriaceae.
GUUCGCGCCACUGUCUCAGGUGCCUAACGAGCAACGCCCUCGUUGUUCUGGUUAGGGUAAACGGGAAAUAUGGUGAGAUAUGAAUUUCACAGUGAAAUGUAUCAAUUCCAUUGCUGCCCCCGCAACGGUAAAGCACAAAGUGCAAGCCCGACACCGGCCUGAAUAAACACGCUCAC